Molecule: ribosomal RNA, 425 nt
Filed under: uncultured cyanobacterium
Lineage: Bacteria; Bacillati; Cyanobacteriota
Description: bacterial SSU rRNA
Rfam family: Bacterial small subunit ribosomal RNA
Source: RNAcentral
GGGGAAUUUUCCGCAAUGGGCGAAAGCCUGACGGAGCAAUACCGCGUGGGGGAGGAAGGCCCUUGGGUUGUAAACCCCUUUUGUCAGGGAAGAACACAAUGACGGUACCUGACGAAUCAGCCUCGGCUAACUCCGUGCCAGCAGCCGCGGUAAGACGGAGGAGGCAAGCGUUAUCCGGAAUCAUUGGGCGUAAAGCGUCCGUAGGUGGCUGAUCAAGUCUGCUGUUAAAGCCCAGGGCUCAACCCUGGAGAAGCAGUGGAAACUGAUAGGCUAGAGUGCGGUAGGGGUAGAGGGAAUUCCCGGUGUAGCGGUGAAAUGCGUAGAGAUCGGGAAGAACACCAGUGGCGAAAGCGCUCUGCUGGACCGCAACUGACACUGAGGGACGAAAGCUAGGGGAGCGAAAGGGAUUAGAUACCCCAGUAGUC